GAGGUGAAUAAACGCUGAGUUCCAUGGGAAUAAUGAAUCUUCAGUGUUUGCAAUCUUAUCAUGUUUAUAGUUGAUCAUUAUAUAAUGUAAAUUUGGUAAAGAUAGUUGUCUGCUAAAUAAAACAAAACAAAAAAUAUUUCUUUUUCAGGUUCAUCUUCCCCAGACCCAAAAGAUGUGGUGGUUACUAUUAAGGUAUCAAGGCCUCGACCUAACACACCACCGCCGAAAAAAUGAGCUUCAAUUUAACAUUUCAACAUGUCAUAUAUUUCUUACGUAAACAAUAAAUUAUAUGAAAAUUAUUUAAAUUAGAUUUUGAGACUAUGAUGUUUUUACAUUUCAACAUGUCAUAUAUUUCUUACGUAAACAAUAAAUUAUAUGAAAAUUAUUUGAAUUAGAUUUUGAGACUAUGAUGUUUCUGUAGGACCGUCACUAGAUUGGUUCGACUGAUUACAUCAUAAUAGAAGGUGUGUAUAGGGUUUAAAGAAUAAAAAUUGAUAGGGG
RNAcentral lists this long non-coding RNA (501 nucleotides) under Mytilus galloprovincialis (Mediterranean mussel). The record is from RNAcentral. Lineage: Eukaryota; Metazoa; Mollusca; Bivalvia; Mytilida; Mytilidae.